Molecule: transfer RNA, 71 nt
Filed under: Bos taurus (domestic cattle)
Lineage: Eukaryota; Metazoa; Chordata; Mammalia; Artiodactyla; Bovidae
Also listed under: 5 other names
Rfam family: tRNA
About the family: Transfer RNA (tRNA) molecules are approximately 80 nucleotides in length. Their secondary structure includes four short double-helical elements and three loops (D, anti-codon, and T loops).
Source: Rfam by way of RNAcentral
UCUCUGGUGGUCCAAUACUAAGACUCUGGGCUUCCAGUGCAGGGGCCCAGGUUCGAUCCCUGGUCAGGGAA